GUGAUUCAGAUGUUUAUAUUUAUCCCAGAUUUGGUAGGCAAUUAUGGCAUUGAACAUGUGACAAUAGUAAAGUAAAAAAUAAUCAUAUGUUGGUCUCAAAAUCAUAUAGAUUUUCUACUGACAAGGUAUUAAUUUCCAUUACAUUUGACUUCUUAGUUUACUGUAAUGACUGCAUUACCAGUUCUCUCUAUAUGAAUGUAUGUAUUGAUUACUGUCCCUGUUUAAUUAAAUUAUGUGCUUAUUGGCCGAGUAAUCUAACGCUGAUGCUAUAGACCAUAAGGUCUGUCUUUAUUUAGGGGUGUCCAAAUAUGCAUUUUAGAUCAUAAGGUCUCUCAUUGAGUCAGUGGCAUGUUUUCGAUUCCCCGCUUGUCCGAAAAUAUGGGUUUUCUCGGUUCUCCAGUUUCCUCCCACUGCUAAAGACCCCUAAGAACAAGUGCAUUAUUGAAAUAAAGUUGAAUCAUGUGUUAUGCCCAAAAUGAUCUAGGUUGUGUUCAGCAGACAUUAAACCCCAUAUCUCUCUAUCAUCAGUUCAAGUGGUUUCUUGUGGGUUUUUUCAGGCAUAUAAGUGAAAUAUCAUGCUAAUCCCAAAAUUACCCAAUCUGUGGUUAACCCCAUAGCUUUCACUGUCAUUUAUGAAACUGAUUUACAGAACUGUUUACUUGCUUAUUAUAUCAUAAAAUGCUAGUGUGUGCAUUCAGUUUCUUCCAAAUAGUAUAGCCUUUAAAAAAGUCAAUAUUUUCUUUAUGACAGAAUUCACUGGACAACAAAGUCUUUUACUAUUUAAGAUAGUUAGAAAUUAUUUAUUUUAAUUGUUCAUUUCCUUUAAUGUGUGUGAGUGGAUAUUUUAUUGAUAGAAGAUGGCUGCAACAGGAUGGAUAAUUUGCAUGCUUUUGGUAUUAAUAAAUAUGUGUUUGGUUUUCUGUAAUGCAAAUGGUGAAUUAAAAAUUAAAGUUUUGAGAAUCAGAAGAUUGUAAAACUAAAGUUUCCACAGGUGAUCAUUUGUUAUCAGUGUAGAUUGAUAGAUGGAGAUGGAAAACUUAUAGGAAACACCUAUGCAGAUGAACCUGAAACAUUUAAGAUUGGGGAUUAUGAAGUUAUUUCAGGUCUUGAGGAUGGAAUCGUCUCUAUGUGUGUUGGCAUGCAACAGUGGGCCUGACAGACUGACAUUGAGGACCGGAUCCGGCCACAGGCCAUAGAUUGGUGACCCCUGAGCUAUGGGAACAUAGCUUAAAAUGUUGAGAUAUACUGAUUUGCUCGUUUUUAGCUAUGAUUGGGUGGGGACUUUCAAAAGUUUAGUAUGUACUAGUACUGUUUGUCCCUUUAGGAGUUGCUCAUUUAGAUUUGUUCAAAUGAAGUUGUCCAGUACCCGUUACUUAAUUACCAUAGUUAUGAUAAUUUGGCUUCCACAAAAGAUAUGUGAUUUUGGUUUAUUUAUUAGUGACAUUUUUCAGAGAGAAGAGAUCUUUAGAAGUUCCUCCUGAAAUGGCUUAUGGGAUUGAAGGCAAGCCACCUACUAUACCAUGCAUAUAUCAAUUACUACUUAUUUUCAUUGGUUCAAUUUAAUUUUGGACAUAAUGUCUUAUUAUCUCUUCACUUAUUUCCGAAUUCUAACAAUGGAUAGAUAAUGACAACCCAAUGUACAGAGUCAAAUACAUUAAUCUGCAUAAUAACACAAUGACUGACGGUCACUGACCCAUACAGUGAUCUACAAUAAAUUUCAACACCUUUUAAACCUAUGCCUAUAAACUGCAACAAUAACCUAAAAAAAUAUUCUGGAAAACAACAAAAAUGUAGUAAAAUAGUAAAAUUUAGCUUUAAUGAUGAGUUCUUGAAGCUUACUGGCAGAGUGGAAGGGCUGGAUUAUAGAAACUACAUAAUAACAAAUUUCUUGAUUCUGAAUAUAUAUAAUAAAUUUGUUCUUUGUUUUGUUUUUUAGGUAACACCAACCUUUUAUUUGAAGUUGAAUUAUUAGAAGUAAAAAGAUCAUUUCUAGCAAAUAUUUUAGACAAACAUCUGUGGUUAGUUAUUUAUUCUGUGGCAGGCAUAUUCCUAUGUUUUUAGUUAUAUUGAAAUGUUUAGCAAAUUUACCAUCACAGAAGAAAAAAAUUGCCGAAAAUAAAAAAAAUAUAAUUUACUUUAUUGAAAAUUGAUCUCUUGAUAAAUGCACCAGAAAUUUGGCUCAGUCUAACUUGUCCUCUUAACUCAUAAUUUACAUUUAUUCUUCAAGUUCAAUGUACCUAGUAGCAAUGAAAAAACCCCAGGAAAAUCCAGGAGAUUUUUCAAUUCAUAAAAUAACAUUGAAAUGUGGUUGUAUAUUGUCUUCGACCCCGUCCGUCCGGCGUCCACAAUUGGUUGUUGACGCUCUAGAGGCUAAAGUUAAUAUCCGAUUGACUUUAAAUUUAUAUACAGUGUUUAAGGUCAUGAGACAAAGAAGUCUAUUGAUUUUCAGCGAUUUCCGAUAAUUACUCCCAGAGUUAUGGCCCUUGAUCACUUAAAAAAAUCUUGUGGACGCUCUAGAGGCUAAAGUUAAUAUUCGAUUGACUUUAAAUUUAUACACAGUGUUUAAGGCCAUGAGACGAAGAAGCCUAUUGAUCACCGCACAGAUUCGGAAUCUACGAAAAAAACUGGUCUAGAAAAACUUGGUCUCAUAAAUUUACAGCUCGGGUGGCGAUUCCCCCCCUUCAGCCACCGGACUACACCCCCCUACCUACCUCCCUUCACCUUGGAUGCAGGCUGUAUCAAAAGGGCUGUCAUUGAGUCAAUUACUGGCGUGGUUUCGACUCCCCGGUUGUACAUAACAAAGAGUAGAGUCGCCUGCCAAACCUCAUGGGUUUUCUCCAGGCCCUCCACUUUCCUCCCACUGCUAAAGACCCCUACGCGCAAGCAAAUUAUUGAAAUAAAAAAAUAGAACCAUAUAUUAGUCCCGAAAUGACCUAUUUUGUGUUGGGUGGACGUUAAACCCCAUUUCUCUCUUUCUCUCUCUCUCUCUCACUAUCCUCUGUGUACAGACAUGGUUCCACUACAAGUGUAGAUGUCUUAAAAUAACAAUUAUUCAUGCUGAUCGAGGUUGACACUAUGAAAAUAAUACCACUACCAGUUACAAAUGUACCUUUUUGUGGAUAAAUCAGUAUAAAAUUC
Long non-coding RNA from Patella vulgata (common limpet), 3138 nucleotides. RefSeq lists it as uncharacterized. The record is from RefSeq and is a predicted model, not a curated record. Lineage: Eukaryota; Metazoa; Mollusca; Gastropoda; Patellidae. The transcript has 4 exons.